Molecule: ribosomal RNA, 504 nt
Filed under: uncultured bacterium
Lineage: Bacteria
Description: bacterial SSU rRNA
Rfam family: Bacterial small subunit ribosomal RNA
Source: RNAcentral
AUUGAACGCUGGCGGCGUGCUUAACACAUGCAAGUCGAUCGGUAACAGGUGUAGCAAUACAUGCUGACGAGAGGCGGACGGGUGAGUAAUGCUUGGGAAUCUGCCUAUUAGUGGGGGACAACCCGGGGAAACUCGGGCUAAUACCGCAUACGCACUACGGUGGAAAGCCGGGGACCGCAAGGCCUGGCGCUAACAGAUGAGCCCAAGUCGGAUUAGCUAGUUGGUAGGGUAACGGCCUACCAAGGCGACGAUCCGUAACUGGUCUGAGAGGACGACCAGUCACACCGGAACUGAGACACGGUCCGGACUCCUACGGGAGGCAGCAGUGGGGAAUAUUGGACAAUGGGGGAAACCCUGAUCCAGCGACGCCGCGUGGGUGAAGAAGGCCUGCGGGUUGUAAAGCCCUUUCAGUGGGGGAAGAAAAGCCUCGACCUAACACGUCGGGGUCUUGACGUAACCCAUAGAAGAAGCACCGGCUAACUCUGUGCCAGCAGCCGCAGUAAG